RNAcentral lists this unclassified non-coding RNA (212 nucleotides) under Hevea brasiliensis (rubber tree). The record is from RNAcentral. Lineage: Eukaryota; Viridiplantae; Streptophyta; Magnoliopsida; Malpighiales; Euphorbiaceae.
GGAAGCUGGUGGAACGAUAUGGUACCAGAAGGCAUUCGAGAUGCUUUCUCCAGUAAAUUCAGGGAAACAGAUGCUGUUGUGGAGCAUGUAUUGAAAGAAAUGACAACGGAGCAGGAUGAGGUUAGGGAUUGCUUUUCUCGUCCUCGUCCCGUAAAAGAAGAGGGUGAAGCUUGCUCCUCUCAUCCUUGUCCCGUAAAAGAAGAAGAUUGGGG